This 1440-nucleotide ribosomal RNA is filed under the name Mycobacterium sp. EM3. RNAcentral describes it as "bacterial SSU rRNA". It matches the Rfam family "Bacterial small subunit ribosomal RNA". The record is from RNAcentral. Lineage: Bacteria; Bacillati; Actinomycetota; Actinomycetes; Mycobacteriales; Mycobacteriaceae.
GACGAACGCUGGCGGCGUGCUUAACACAUGCAAGUCGAACGGAAAGGCCCUUCGGGGUACUCGAGUGGCGAACGGGUGAGUAACACGUGGGUGAUCUGCCCUGCACUUUGGGAUAAGCCUGGGAAACUGGGUCUAAUACCGAAUAGGACCACGCGCUUCAUGGUGUGUGGUGGAAAGCUUUUGCGGUGUGGGACGGGCCCGCGGCCUAUCAGCUUGUUGGUGGGGUAAUGGCCUACCAAGGCGACGACGGGUAGCCGGCCUGAGAGGGUGACCGGCCACACUGGGACUGAGAUACGGCCCAGACUCCUACGGGAGGCAGCAGUGGGGAAUAUUGCACAAUGGGCGCAAGCCUGAUGCAGCGACGCCGCGUGAGGGAUGACGGCCUUCGGGUUGUAAACCUCUUUCAAUAGGGACGAAAGCGCAAGUGACGGUACCUAUAGAAGAAGCACCGGCCAACUACGUGCCAGCAGCCGCGGUAAUACGUAGGGUGCGAGCGUUGUCCGGAAUUACUGGGCGUAAAGAGCUCGUAGGUGGUUUGUCGCGUUGUUCGUGAAAACUCACAGCUUAACUGUGGGCGUGCGGGCGAUACGGGCAGACUAGAGUACUGCAGGGGAGACUGGAAUUCCUGGUGUAGCGGUGGAAUGCGCAGAUAUCAGGAGGAACACCGGUGGCGAAGGCGGGUCUCUGGGCAGUAACUGACGCUGAGGAGCGAAAGCGUGGGGAGCGAACAGGAUUAGAUACCCUGGUAGUCCACGCCGUAAACGGUGGGUACUAGGUGUGGGUUCCUUCCUUGGGAUCCGUGCCGUAGCUAACGCAUUAAGUACCCCGCCUGGGGAGUACGGCCGCAAGGCUAAAACUCAAAGGAAUUGACGGGGGCCCGCACAAGCGGCGGAGCAUGUGGAUUAAUUCGAUGCAACGCGAAGAACCUUACCUGGGUUUGACAUGCACAGGACGCCGGCAGAGAUGUCGGUUCCCUUGUGGCCUGUGUGCAGGUGGUGCAUGGCUGUCGUCAGCUCGUGUCGUGAGAUGUUGGGUUAAGUCCCGCAACGAGCGCAACCCUUGUCCUAUGUUGCCAGCGGGUUAUGCCGGGGACUCGUAGGAGACUGCCGGGGUCAACUCGGAGGAAGGUGGGGAUGACGUCAAGUCAUCAUGCCCCUUAUGUCCAGGGCUUCACACAUGCUACAAUGGCCGGUACAAAGGGCUGCGAUGCCGUGAGGUGGAGCGAAUCCUUUCAAAGCCGGUCUCAGUUCGGAUCGGGGUCUGCAACUCGACCCCGUGAAGUCGGAGUCGCUAGUAAUCGCAGAUCAGCAACGCUGCGGUGAAUACGUUCCCGGGCCUUGUACACACCGCCCGUCACGUCAUGAAAGUCGGUAACACCCGAAGCCGGUGGCCUAACCCUUGUGGAGGGAGCCGUCGAAGGUGGGAUCGGCGAUUGGGACG